Molecule: long non-coding RNA, 211 nt
Filed under: Solanum tuberosum (potato)
Lineage: Eukaryota; Viridiplantae; Streptophyta; Magnoliopsida; Solanales; Solanaceae
Description: long non-coding RNA (STUB_LNC003629)
Source: RNAcentral
UAAUAAUCACAUGCUGCCUGUGCUAUUUGCUCCUGACCUUGUAUCCAUUCCUCAUUAUCAUUAUAAAUCUUAUGCAAAAAUAACCUCCUUCUUCUACCUCUCAUCAAAGCAUGAAAAUAUUUGGUAUUGGCAUCACCAUCCUUAAACCAUUGUAAUUGAGUCUUUUGUUUAAAGAUAGAUUCUUCCAUUUUCAAAUAUCUAAUAUAAUUUG